Molecule: ribosomal RNA, 2100 nt
Filed under: Triticum aestivum (bread wheat)
Lineage: Eukaryota; Viridiplantae; Streptophyta; Magnoliopsida; Poales; Poaceae
Description: partial small subunit ribosomal RNA
Source: RNAcentral
AUGGUACGUCAUAAAAAACAGUAUAACACUAUGGGCAUGGUAGAUAAUAAGCAAAAUGUCAAGGUAAAAGAAGAGGAAGAUGAAAAUAUUAAUACGAAAGAGAAAAGGAAGCAAAAUAAAGCUGAAGGUGGUAAGAAAGCAGAGGAGAAGCAAAAUUCCUCGAAGAGGAAGAUGAAUAAGAACAAGGAGGAGAAAGAGAAGAAAACGAGAGUUGUUGAUAAAAAGGAUGAUGAGGAGAAGGAGAGGGAGGAUCGGAGGAAAAGAAAGGAAAAUGAGAAGAAGAUUAAGUCACAUAUGGAAGGAAAGGAGGAGAAUAAGAAUGAGAAAGAAGAACAAGGGCAGCAAGAAAUUGAGAAAGAGAAAGGAGAGGAACAAAAGGAGAUAAAUAAGCAGAAGGGAAGGAAGAAAAAUGAUAAAGAGGAAGAGGAUUUGAAGGAAAGGCAUGAGAAGGACCAGAAUGGCAAAAAAAAUUGCCCUCACUUCUUUAGGGCGCUCAUAUCCUAUUCAUUUAUGGAACACGUGACCAUUCCAGUAGGAUUCCACAAAUACUUGGAAGAUUGUACAGGAAUGGUUUCCCUGAGAGGUCCAAGCGGGAAUAAAUGGCCCGUAGAGCUGGCUAAAAUCUCUGGGGAGCUACGCUUUGCACGUGGAUGGAAGGAGUUCCUCUCCGACAAUCGCAUCGGGUAUGGCUACAUGCUGGUAUUCCGUUACGAGGGGCAGUCACAGUUCUCAGUGAUCAUUUUCUUGCCAUCGUCCUGCGAGGAUCCCUAUGCGUCUCUCGCCCAGCCGCAGCGCAAGGAUGUCGACGUGGCUGGAGAGGAAGAGAAAGGGCUCAUGAGCACCAAUGCAGAUGGUACUGCCCCUCAAGAAGAAGACGCUCACACUGGCACCAGUGUAGAUGGUACACCACAAAAUGAAGCUUCAGAAGAAGAAGAUGCUUCAGAAGAUGAAGAGGCAGAGGAAGUUGAAGACGCAUUAUCAGAAACUGCAGAGAACGAGGAAGACGGUGAAUGUCACAUGUGCAGCGACGAUGCAUUAGAACCAGCGCAACAACAACAGGAGGAUCUACGCAAGACCGACGAUGGUUUUGUGGUCGGGAAGAGGGCUAGGUUUAGGAAGGUUGAUGAUAUCAUGGCAGAAGUGGACCGAUCCAAGAAGUCCAAGACUGUGGAGAGGAAGAACUCUGAAGGUCCAUCUGGUGAUCUAGGUUCUGGGGGAGCAGCAUCAAGCGAUAGUUUGGCAGAAUCGGAGCAUCGUCCACCCAAGAAGUCCAAGGCUGAGGAGAUAAGGUCUGCAUCUGGCGAUUCACCUUCUAAGGCGGCAGCAUCAAGCGACAAUUUUGCAGAGUUGGACAGUCGUCCAUCCAAGGAGUCCAAGGCCGAGGGUAAAAGCUUUGCUGGUCCUUUAAUUGUUUGUACCAGUUCUUCUAGUUCAUCAUCCAAAAGAGUUCCCCUCAAAAAAUCUUCGGAAGAAACAAUAUCAAGUGACAAUUUGGCAGUUCAUACAGGUGUAUUCGCACCAGAAUCUGUGUGCACGGACUUAACCAUGUGGCACAAUUCUUUUGGUAAAAGGCUUAGUAAGCAGAAUCAAUUCCCAAUGUUCAACAAGAGCAAUGGUGAAAACCAACCUGGCAGAGUUCUCAUCAAGGUUAUGAGAAGGCUGGGAUUAACAUCACAGAGGCGUCCAGUAACUCAAAGGGAGAAGGAAUGUGCCAUGGAGAGGGCGCAGAGGUUCAAAUCCGAGAGGCCCUUCGCCAUCAAGGCAAUGAAGCACAACGAUGUCUAUGCCUCGUACUUCAUGAUCAUCCCGGACAAGUUUGUGAAAACAUUCCUCCCCAAAGAGAGUAGGAAGAUGACGCUGUGGGACCCGCAGGCAAAGCCGUGGAAGGUGUGGUACGAGUACACCGGCGGUGAGUGUCCUCGCGCGGCGUUCAGUGCCGGGUGGGGGGCGCUCGCCAUGGAGAACAACCUGGAGAAGUGGGACGUGUGCGUGUUCGAGCUCCUGGACCAGGAAUACAAUAUCAAGCUGCACGUCCACAAGGUCGUGAUGAUGAUCACUCCCUGCAUCCUCGCCCCAAAACCUCGCACAAACGAGCGAUAA